RNAcentral lists this ribosomal RNA (251 nucleotides) under uncultured prokaryote. Its description in RNAcentral is "partial 16S rRNA". It matches the Rfam family "Bacterial small subunit ribosomal RNA", at positions 525 to 775 of the family's 1533-position model. The record is from RNAcentral.
ACGUACGGGGCAAGCGUUGUUCGGAAUUAUUGGGCGUAAAGGGCGUCUAGGCGGGGGAUUAAGUUAGAUGUGAAAGCUAUGGGCUCAACCCAUAAACUGCAUCUAAGACUGGCUCUCUUGAGUUCGGGAGAGGAGAGCGGAAUUCCAGGUGUAGCGGUGAAAUGCGUAGAUAUCGGGAAGAACACCAGUGGCGAAGGCGGCUCGCUGGCCUAGAGCUGACGCUGAGGCGCGAAAGCGUGGGGAGCGAACAG